Jaculus jaculus (lesser Egyptian jerboa) is the source of this 686-nucleotide long non-coding RNA. RefSeq lists it as uncharacterized. The transcript has 3 exons. NCBI's taxonomy places the organism in Eukaryota, Metazoa, Chordata, Mammalia, Rodentia, Dipodidae. The record is from RefSeq and is a predicted model, not a curated record.
ACCAUGUGCAUCCGGCUUAUGUGGGACCUGGAGAAUCGAACCUGGGUCCUUAGGCGUCCCAGAAAAUAUACAAGGCAGAUCGUUGGCCUUGCGAUCUGUAGCGUACAUGGGCUUGGCAACGGCAAAGUGAAUUAAAGAUGGGUGAUGUGCCACACUGUGGAAAAGGGAGGCAAGUACAAGACUGGACCAAAUCUCCAAGGUCUGUUUGGACAGAAGACCAGUCAGGCUGCUGGAUUCUCUUACACAGACGCCAACAAAAACAGAGGCAUCACCUGGGGAGAAGACACACUGAUGGAAUAUCUGGAAAAUCCCAAAAAGUACAUCCCUGGAACAAAAAUGAUCUUCGCUGGCCGGGCAUGGUGGUGCAUGCCUUUCAUCCCAGCACUCGGGAGGCAGAGAGAGAGAAUGGAUGUGCCAGGGCUUCCAGCCACUGCAAAUGAACUCCAGACACAUGCGCCCCCUUGGGCAUCUAUCUGGCUUACGUGGGUCCUGGGGAGUUGCGCCUCCUACAGGGGUUCUUAGCCGCUAAGCCAUCUCUCCAGCCGGGAUGCAGAGUUUUGCAUGGUUUGGUUGGUAAAAUGUUCUGGAUACAGAUAGUGGAGGUAGUUACACAACAUGGAUGCACUUAAUGCUGCUGAAUUGUGUAUGUAAAGAUGGCUGAGACGAUAAAUUUCACAUUGUGUAUC